This 460-nucleotide ribosomal RNA is filed under the name uncultured bacterium. RNAcentral describes it as "partial 16S ribosomal RNA". It matches the Rfam family "Bacterial small subunit ribosomal RNA", at positions 338 to 795 of the family's 1533-position model. The record is from RNAcentral.
CCUACGGGCGGCAGCAGUGAGGAAUAUUGGUCAAUGGACGAGAGUCUGAACCAGCCAAGUAGCGUGAAGGAUGACUGCCCUAUGGGUUGUAAACUUCUUUUAUAAAGGAAUAAAACGAGGCACGUGUGCCUUUUUGCAUGUACUUUAUGAAUAAGGAUCGGCUAACUCCGUGCCAGCAGCCGCGGUAAUACGGAGGAUCCGAGCGUUAUCCGGAUUUAUUGGGUUUAAAGGGAGCGUAGAUGGGUUGUUAAGUCAGUUGUGAAAGUUUGCGGCUCAACCGUAAAAUUGCAAUUGAUACUGGCAGUCUUGAGUACGGUUGAGGUAGGCGGAAUUCGUGGUGUAGCGGUGAAAUGCUUAGAUAUCACGAAGAACCCCGAUUGCGAAGGCAGCUUACUAACCUGUGACUGACAUUGAUGCGCGAAAGUGUGGGUAGCAAACAGGAUUAGAUACCCGAGUAGUC